GAUGAACGCUGGCGGCGUGCCUAAUACAUGCCAGUCGAGCGAACAGACGAGGAGCUUGCUCCUCUGACGUUAGCGGCGGACGGGUGAGUAACACGUGGAUAACCUACCUAUAAGACUGGGAUAACUUCGGGAAACCGGAGCUAAUACCGGAUAAUAUAUUGAACCGCAUGGUUCAAUAGUGAAAGACGGUUUUGCUGUCACUUAUAGAUGGAUCCGCGCCGCAUUAGGUAGUUGGUAAGGUAACGGCUUACCAAGGCGACGAUGCGUAGCCGACCUGAGAGGGUGAUCGGCCACACUGGAACUGAGACACGGUCCAGACUCCUACGGGAGGCAGCAGUAGGGAAUCUUCCGCAAUGGGCGAAAGCCUGACGGAGCAACGCCGCGUGAGUGAUGAAGGUCUUCGGAUCGUAAAACUCUGUUAUUAGGGAAGAACAAAUGUGUAAGUAACUAUGCACGUCUUGACGGUACCUAAUCAGAAAGCCACGGCUAACUACGUG
Molecule: ribosomal RNA, 497 nt
Filed under: uncultured bacterium
Lineage: Bacteria
Description: partial 16S ribosomal RNA
Rfam family: Bacterial small subunit ribosomal RNA
Source: RNAcentral